Molecule: ribosomal RNA, 1523 nt
Filed under: Salmonella enterica
Lineage: Bacteria; Pseudomonadati; Pseudomonadota; Gammaproteobacteria; Enterobacterales; Enterobacteriaceae
Also listed under: 1 other name
Description: bacterial SSU rRNA
Rfam family: Bacterial small subunit ribosomal RNA
Source: RNAcentral
GAGUUUGAUCAUGGCUCAGAUUGAACGCUGGCGGCAGGCCUAACACAUGCAAGUCGAACGGUAACAGGAAGCAGCUUGCUGCUUUGCUGACGAGUGGCGGACGGGUGAGUAAUGUCUGGGAAACUGCCUGAUGGAGGGGGAUAACUACUGGAAACGGUGGCUAAUACCGCAUAACGUCGCAAGACCAAAGAGGGGGACCUUCGGGCCUCUUGCCAUCAGAUGUGCCCAGAUGGGAUUAGCUUGUUGGUGAGGUAACGGCUCACCAAGGCGACGAUCCCUAGCUGGUCUGAGAGGAUGACCAGCCACACUGGAACUGAGACACGGUCCAGACUCCUACGGGAGGCAGCAGUGGGGAAUAUUGCACAAUGGGCGCAAGCCUGAUGCAGCCAUGCCGCGUGUAUGAAGAAGGCCUUCGGGUUGUAAAGUACUUUCAGCGGGGAGGAAGGUGUUGUGGUUAAUAACCACAGCAAUUGACGUUACCCGCAGAAGAAGCACCGGCUAACUCCGUGCCAGCAGCCGCGGUAAUACGGAGGGUGCAAGCGUUAAUCGGAAUUACUGGGCGUAAAGCGCACGCAGGCGGUCUGUCAAGUCGGAUGUGAAAUCCCCGGGCUCAACCUGGGAACUGCAUUCGAAACUGGCAGGCUUGAGUCUUGUAGAGGGGGGUAGAAUUCCAGGUGUAGCGGUGAAAUGCGUAGAGAUCUGGAGGAAUACCGGUGGCGAAGGCGGCCCCCUGGACAAAGACUGACGCUCAGGUGCGAAAGCGUGGGGAGCAAACAGGAUUAGAUACCCUGGUAGUCCACGCCGUAAACGAUGUCUACUUGGAGGUUGUGCCCUUGAGGCGUGGCUUCCGGAGCUAACGCGUUAAGUAGACCGCCUGGGGAGUACGGCCGCAAGGUUAAAACUCAAAUGAAUUGACGGGGGCCCGCACAAGCGGUGGAGCAUGUGGUUUAAUUCGAUGCAACGCGAAGAACCUUACCUGGUCUUGACAUCCACAGAACUUUCCAGAGAUGGAUUGGUGCCUUCGGGAACUGUGAGACAGGUGCUGCAUGGCUGUCGUCAGCUCGUGUUGUGAAAUGUUGGGUUAAGUCCCGCAACGAGCGCAACCCUUAUCCUUUGUUGCCAGCGGUCCGGCCGGGAACUCAAAGGAGACUGCCAGUGAUAAACUGGAGGAAGGUGGGGAUGACGUCAAGUCAUCAUGGCCCUUACGACCAGGGCUACACACGUGCUACAAUGGCGCAUACAAAGAGAAGCGACCUCGCGAGAGCAAGCGGACCUCAUAAAGUGCGUCGUAGUCCGGAUUGGAGUCUGCAACUCGACUCCAUGAAGUCGGAAUCGCUAGUAAUCGUGGAUCAGAAUGCCACGGUGAAUACGUUCCCGGGCCUUGUACACACCGCCCGUCACACCAUGGGAGUGGGUUGCAAAAGAAGUAGGUAGCUUAACCUUCGGGAGGGCGCUUACCACUUUGUGAUUCAUGACUGGGGUGAAGUCGUAACAAGGUAACCGUAGGGGAACCUGCGGUUGGA